Molecule: small RNA, 1114 nt
Filed under: Homo sapiens (human)
Lineage: Eukaryota; Metazoa; Chordata; Mammalia; Primates; Hominidae
Description: novel transcript (ENSG00000292171.1)
Source: RNAcentral
AGAAUUACUUGAACCUGGGAGACAGAGGUUGCCGUGAGCCAAGAUCUCACCAGUGCAGUACAGCGUGGGUGACAGAGCAAGUAAGUAAAGAGGAGGUUUGGAAUUAGAUAUUUGGUGUAUGAAUGAAUGGGCUAAAGUGCGAAAGAACAGGCAGAAUAACUGAGCUGGUACAGAGGAAAAAAAUCACACUUAAAAUCUAAAAGUAUCUGCUUCUCAAUUUGGGCUUUCCCACUUAGCAGCUUUGACACCUUAGAAAGAACACUUAACUUACCUGAGCUUCUAUUACUUCUAAAAAGUGCAUAAAGUGCAGGCUAAGACAUAGUUUUUUUGGCAAAAUUCAGUCAGACUACAUCAAGUAAACUCCCUAAGUCUCCUAGUAUAAUUCAUGGCACAAAAACUGGGGAAAAAACAGGGAGGAUAUGAUUAUAAGUUCAGUUUGGGUUUUUUGUUGAGUGAAUGUCUCCAGUCAUAGAGAUGCAAGUGUAGAUACACAGUAAGAGUAGUAUGAACAGGAGACACCUUGGAAGGCUAUUUCUUCCUUCAUUCAUUCAGUUGGUCACUCAAUGAACUAUCAUGAAUUGAGCACUACCUCUGUUUCUUAUCAACAAAGGAGACUACGGAAAAGAAGAGUGACUAAGAUCUCUGAAGAAGGGAAAAGCUAGAUGACUGGGCCACAAGAGGAAAAAAAGCAGCAAGACAGCUUGAAUGUGAGGCAACUGUGAAAAGUGCAGGGCAGAGCCACCUGGGUAAAUACAGCCCUGGCUUUCUGGUGAGAGGACUGAAACCAGGAUGUGUCAAGUAACUAGAAUGUGCCUGGACAGAUACUGUAGAAAGCAAACCCAUAAAGUUGUUCAUGAGCUUGUGGACGCACCUGCCAGCUGUGAAUAAGUGGGUCUAAUCCCAAACAACUUACCUAAAAAGAGCCUGAGGACUGAACUAAACAAUGGUCCACUUUCCAGUCCUCACUGACCACUGGUUGCACACACUCCAGAGAUCUCUCAUCCGCAGUGUCAAGGCUUUCAAAUAGAGUUAUCUGUGAAACAACAACACAUGGAAGUCUGGUUGGUACUUGGAGCUUAAAUACAAGGCAAUUGUGUGCCUGCAAAAACAAAAA